GGGGGAAUAUUGCACAAUGGAGGGAACUCUGAUGCAGCGACGCCGCGUGAACGAAGAAGGCUUUCGAGUCGUAAAGUUCUUUUAUAUGGGAAGAUAAUGACGGUACCAUAAGAAAAAGCCCCGGCUAACUACGUGCCAGCAGCCGCGGUAAUACGUAGGGGGCUAGCGUUGUCCGGAAUCACUGGGCGUAAAGGGUUCGCAGGCGGAAAUGCAAGUCAGGUGUAAAAGGCAGUAGCUUAACUACUGUAAGGAUUUGAAACUGCAUAUCUUGAGAAGAGUAGAGGUAAGUGGAAUUUUUAGUGUAGCGGUGAAAUGUGUAGAUAUUAAAAAGAAUACCGGUGGCGAAGGCGACUUACUGGGCUCAUUCUGACGCUGAGGAACGAAAGCGUGGGUAGCAAACAGG
RNAcentral lists this ribosomal RNA (403 nucleotides) under bacterium. Its description in RNAcentral is "partial 16S ribosomal RNA". It matches the Rfam family "Bacterial small subunit ribosomal RNA", at positions 355 to 776 of the family's 1533-position model. The record is from RNAcentral.